CCUACGGGAGGCAGCAGCGAGGAAUAUUGCGCAAUGGAGGGAACUCUGACGCAGUAACGCCGCGUGUGGGAAGAAGGCCUUCGGGUUGUAAACCACUUUUUGUAUAGACGAGCGAGGACGGUAUAUAUAGAAUAAGUCUCGGCUAACUACGUGCCAGCAGCCGCGGUAAGACGUAGGAGGCGAGCGUUAUCCGGAAUCACUGGGCGUAAAGCGCAUGUAGGCGGUUGUGCAAGUCGUGUGUAAAAGCCCCCGGCUCAACUGGGGGAGGUCAUGCGAGACUGCGCGACUGGAGGGCAGGAGAGGCACGUGGAACUCCCGGUGUAGCGGUGGAAUGCGUAGAGAUCGGGAAGAACAUCAGUGGCGAAGGCGACGUGCUGGGCUGCACCUGACGCUGAGAUGCGAAAGUGUGGGGAGCAAACGGGAUUAGAUACCCGAGUAGUC
Molecule: ribosomal RNA, 441 nt
Filed under: uncultured bacterium
Lineage: Bacteria
Description: bacterial SSU rRNA
Rfam family: Bacterial small subunit ribosomal RNA
Source: RNAcentral